UUUAAUAGUAUCAUAUUAAAAUAAUAUAUAACAAGUUAUUUGUUAUAUCUUUAAGAAAAAAAACAAGUUGUUUAUUAGUAAAAUGAUGAUCAUCAAUUUUAGUAUAGUAUUUUCCAGUAUACAUACAUACAUUGAUACAUACAUAUAAAUUCUUGAUAUAAAUAUGUAUAAGUUGGUAUUUGGUGAGCUUUUAAUGGUAAAAUUAAAUUUAAACUUCUCUAUAUUGGGAAAGAAAAAAAACCAAAAAGAAGAGAAUAAUAUCAUGGGGAUGAAGAUAGGGAUUGUGAGAGCCACUGCCUUCACAAAUCUCGGCAAUAAGUAACGUAUGUCAUCACUCCAUUAUAUAACACCUAACUCCAAACGGUAUCCGUAUACUUAGGUGUAUUAAUAUGGUACAUAUAUAGAUAUUGGACCGUCACAAAAUAUAUAUAUAUAUAUAUGGAGUAUAUAUAUAUUGGACCACGCAACUAAAUAAAUAUGCACGAUUAUGUGUUUUUAUGUUUUUCCCAAAUAAUACACUAAAUAAAAUUAUAUUGAACUUAUAUGUUAGAUAAUCAUAUCUAAUCUUUCAUAUGGGAUUUAGAAUGAUAUUUUAACAUUUUUCCACAAGUUAAAGACAGUUGUCAUAAUCAAAGAAAUACUAUGUAUUAUAAGACAUACUUCACUAUUCAUAAUCUCACCAGAUUAGCAUGCGUCAAACUAUGUGGACAUAUUUUUGUUGUUUUGAAGCGAGAAUGGUUUGUACACGACUAAUUGGACUAAUACAAGUAGUUUGCAUAUAACCGAGUUCCAUUUAAGUUACAAUGCAACAUUGCAGAAACGACGACAUUCAGAUAAUUUUAGGUGACGUUUUUGUAACACAAAUUUUUAAUGGACGGAUGGAAAACCCAUUUAAGUGAGUGACUAUAUAUAAAUGUCCUAAGUCUCAAAAAGUGUAGCCGUAAUUUCUCAUAAUGAAGUUGGAAACUAAGAGAAGUACCAAAACAAGACAACAGACCAACAAUGAAAAUGGUGGUUGUUCUCCAUUCAAUCUAAGCUCUCUCAAACAUGCGAUCGAGGCCAGAGAUGCUGCGAAGGAUAGUUCAAUCAAUCUAUCGUCGCUCUGAUAACCCAAAUGAUAUUUUCUUUUUUAUUUUGUGUUGCAAAAAUUUGAUAUAUAUUUUAAUGCAUGUGAGUGAUGUAAGGGUAUAAUACACUAAUGAACAUAAGCGUGUCCAGAGGUAGUAUUGAAAAUGUGGUCCAUACAAUUAUGUUUGUGAACAUGGUGGCAAGAACGGCCAUAUACAUGACCUCGUCUGACAAAACAAAGUUUACCAUGAAUUGUUGGUAAGGUUAGAUCUAGAGUCUGAGUUUUAGUUAUUUCAUGUUUGAAAUAAUGGAUAAUAUAUGUAUUAUCUCAAAAAAUACAUAUAUUAUCCAUUAUUGCAAACAGUAAUAUAGGGAGAACAGAAUAGUACCAUACAGUUUAAGAUUACAACCAAAAUCGGUGCAUUCGUCAUGACUCCAGACACUCGUAGCUAUAAUAAAAACAAAACACGUUAUCUUUAAACUACUGAAAUGCUAAUUAAUCGAAAUAAAAAUCGUUUAAGGUAUUAGGUUUAGUUGAUACCAAAGUAUUAAGAGCACCGGCUUUGAAAUGAUGUGGUGAAACUUUACUCUUCUCUCUUGAAACAUAGAUUAGGUUUGGCAUUAUAUACUUUUUGGUAUUGUCCAUAUCUGUCUCACUAUUUUGCAACACCUAUCGUCAAAUUAAUUAGAAUUGAGAUUUAAUUAUAUAAAGAUAUUAGAAUCACAUGUUGCAAACUAUUGUUCUUAAGAAUUUUUUUUUUUUUUUAAAUAGUAUAUGGACCCUGACAAUGCAAAUUCUUAGAAGUACCUGAAUAAUUGUGGGAUGGUCAUGACGAGUGAAUUUGUCGGUCCACAAAUCGAAUACCCCACGAAAUUGAUCGUAUGUGAUAAAUGCAGUCUCAACUUUUCCACUCUUCACCACAUGUUCUACUCUACUCUUCAUGUCUUCAUACAUCAUCUGUUCCACCUCACACUUUAAUAUGUUUGUCUCAUGGCUUUUUAAAAAUUCAAAGAAAUACAGACUUAAUUACUAUACUUAUAAUAUCAUUAAGACAGCUAAUACUCCUAUCGUUUAGGAUAAAUCAUUAAAAUGUCAUGGAUGUUUAACAAUAAUAAAUGAUUAGGAAAUAUCAUGGAUGUACUCAGUCUCCAAAACUCUUGGGGUCAGAAAGGACAUAAUCACCAUUAUUGUCGACAAGAAUGCUAUGAUGGACAACAACAUGUCAACAUUCACUCGUCAUGACCACCCCACAAUUAUUGAGGUAUUUAUAAAUAUAUUUAAAAUUGAAAUUGCAUUCUAAUUUACUAUUCCCUCCGUAUUUGAAUAAAUGUCGUUCUAGCAUUUUUUCUGUGUUUUUAAUUAGUUGUCAUUUUAACAACUUUUACAUAAAAUUUCCUAAAUUACCCUCAAUUAAUUUAUCAUAAUUAAUCAGUCUAAAUUACCAAAACUACAGAUACGAAUCGAUUUUCAUAAAAUUCUGUGCCAUUUCUUAAUUGAUUUAAAAAAUAUAAAAUAUAAUUGUAAAUAAUCGUUUCUCAUAAAGUUAGUUUUGUAAUUCUGUGCCCUUUCUUAAUUCACCCAAAAAUAGUUGAAACGACAUUUUUUCAAAUACCGAGGGAGUAAGAACUUGCAUUGUCAUUGUCUGUUGCUACACAUUUUAUUUUUAUUUGUCGUUAUAAAGUACUCGUUCCAUCCAUGUAUUUUUUCCUCCAUUUAUAUCAUGAUUUAUAAUUUACCCUCGACGAAAGACUACUAAAGGAAAGAACUUGACAAUCAUUGGAACAGUCUUGAGGGGUUUCCCCACUUAUUGUUUAAACGAGAAGACUCAUAAAAUUGUGUUUGACCUACGUAUGCGCAUUUGUCGAAAUUAAAACUUAAAAAUCGUACUAAACCUAAUUAUAAGUUAUUAGUUGAUAAAUAAUAUACAUAUAUACCUUAAUAUUUUCAGCUUCACCACUCCGAGAAUCUGACUUUGAAGAGAAAUAAACUGCAGGAGACCGAUCUUGAACAUUGUUCUUCUUGCAAAAGGGCAACCAAUGCUCAGAGAAUUUAGCAGCCUCCAUAAGAGCAAACAAAGUCAACGACGAUCCUCCAUCGUCCGAUACAUAGACCGAGAUCUUAUCGGACGGAUAUUCAUAUGCCAUCACAGAUAAAGCGGUGUUAACCACCAUCAUCGGAGGCUCCUUGUACGGAUCAGCCGUGCAUAUAAACACGUCCAGCUUCGGAAAGUCCUCCGGUUUAGCUGCAUAUUUCUCAGGGUACUCGGUCCGAUGAACCGGGUUUAACCGGAGGGAAGUUGUGGUUACCCAUAUGAAGGUGAGAACCAUAUCGGAGAGGAGAAGAAGACAUGUUAUAAGAGUGUUGUUUGCUGUGAGAAGUGAGUGUACAUGGUGAUACAUGAGAGCUAUGAUGCCACACGUGUGAAAUACGGCGUAGAUUCUGUAUGGAAUGGUGCGCCCGCACGGAUAACACGUGUGGAGGAUUGCGCCGACGACCGAGUGCUUUCUAUGAGGCUCCAUCGUUUUAGUUACUCUUUUUUACAAAUAGUUUUUGGAGAAGACUGGUAAAGUCAUCUCUACUAGAUUGUUGAUAUUUAUAGCCUUAUAUGCGAGUUUCGUUGUAAAAAAGAGUCGAUAUGUUUACCCGACAAUUUUAGGAUUUCAACAGUGUCACAAAAUGAAUGGUUAAUCUAUGUAAUGUAAGCUAAUUACGGUUUAGUUCCUUCACUAGACUAUUACUGAAGUUUCUUUUAAACUUAACCAUUUUUUAAUUUUUAAAAUAUAUGUUUAAGCUGAUAGCUUAAUUGUAUCCUAUAUUAAAAUAAUUAAAAUUUAGUUAUUAGUAAAAUUGUGUGCAAGCAAAUGAAUAUACAUGCACACAUACAUAUAAAUAAAGGAAAGAUGGUAUUUGUUGAAAAUAUAAAACUCCCUCAUGAAUAAAAAAGGAGAAAAAAACCACGUGGUUGAAAAUAGGGGUUGUGAGAGCCACUACGGCACUGCCUUCACAAUGUAUUGGCGUCGGCGAGAGAGAAGAGAUGAAAAAAAAGCUAUGUACGUACCAUUUUUUUUGUACCUCAUAAUGUCGUAAUCUAACACCUAGCAAUAUUGAUGUAUAUGUUCCAAUUAUUAGUCUAGAUUCACUGUAAACUGGUACAAGUAUAAACCUGUCAAUUUUAUCUUUGGUUUAGAGGUUCGGUUUACCUCACUUUAAUUUGAUUUGGAAUCUGUUUAUGAUGAACCGCCCAUCACCCAAGAAAUGACCAAUCAUAACCUAGAUUCAAAUAUGGUAGUGGUGCGCUAAUUGUAGACAAAAACUAAAUAUUAAGAAGAAUUCAUCACAUUGCUCUCUCUUGCUUCAGUUUAAGCAAGAUGCAUUCAUAGCAUUAUUGUUGAAAAUUAACCCUAAUGGCUAAUGGUGAAGCGUUUUAGUUUUUUGAUAAUGACCUAAUGGUGAAGUUACUUGAGGAGGAAGUAGCAUGACCCUGUAAGAACAAAAGUGAGGAGCCCAGCUAAGAAACAAAUCCUUGAUGUUAAUUUUCCGUCAUCGAUCCUCAACACCAUGGCUUCAUAGAUCGGUAAGCAAUUUACCACCACGAAACUCGCCAGCAUCAGUUCAAGGACGGGUCCUUCUCCCCAAGUGAAAAUAACAUAAAUUCCCCAUACAAAAGCAAGUAGAUUCACUAUGGCGACCGUAGUCAUGGGCAAGAACAUGGACGAAGAGGGCCCGAAAUCAAAGAUCUCUUGCUCGUACCGCUUCAUUUGUUCAUUAUCGUCGUUGGCUUUACUGGUGACGUUGAAUCCUUGAGUCGAGAGGUUUAGGGUUUUGAGAGUGAACUCUGUAAAACCAAAGAAGAAAGAAGAAAGUCCUCUUACCAUCCACAUCCUUUGAUCGUUCCACCAUUUCCGAUAAGUUCCUCCUUCUAAUAAAAAGUCUGAUAGAUCUUGCCCGUAUCCACCGAGAAACAAGCUGAUGUAAAGCCAAAACCACGGAUCCGAUGCCUUGGGGAAGACGCUAAAUCCAUGUAUGAGGGCAACUUGGGGUAAAAGUCCAUAGACGACGAGAGGAAUUGACCAAAACGGCCAAAAUGCAUAGUGGCAAUAGCCUAAGCUCAUUAAUAGGCUCAGUGACUUCAAUCCAUAGGUAAUUGGGUUGUACCUUGAAAAAGUUACUUCAAGAAGUCCAACGGACCAUCGGAUUUGUUGGCCUAUUAUAUCAGUUAGGCAUUUUGGGGACUCUCCAUAAAAUGCAGCCUUUUUAGGGCUGCAAAAUACUGAUCUCCAUCCUUCACAAUGGAGCAUAAAUCCUGUGUAGUAGUCUUCUACUAAUGAGCCGUACCUGAACCCUAUCUGUAAAGUUUUGACAAAUAGAUUAAUUGUGUAACACUACAACUUUUGUAACAAACAAAUAUGUUUUUUUUUAUUCUAGCCAAUUAAUAACAUCUUAUGUUUGAGUUUUUUUUUUUUUUUUUUGAAAAAGAUCUUAUGUUUAAUUAGUUAUUGAAUAAAGAAGUUUUAGUUUUUGAUGGCUAGGAAGUAAUAACAAUACAAUGUCACAGAAAUCAAGAUUGGAGCGUCGAUUGUUUCAAACGAAAUGUUGUUUGCUUUUACAUGUGAAUACACGUAUAAAUGCAAACAUUUUUUUUUUUCAUUUUUAUGUGUGUUUGGUGUUUAUGUUGAUUACACAUGAAUUUUGCUAAGAUGUUUAUAAAUAUGAAUUUUGAGAAGACUAGUUGAUGUAAAGAAACAAAAAAAAUGUAAACUUUACCAAACAAUCAACAUACAUAAAGCUAAGGUUCAUUGUUAUCUUACCUUGGAUCCCCAAUUGGUGUUGCGCUCGUAGUUACAUCCUGCUACAUCGUGUGCCAACGCCAAAAUAUCUUGGUUCUUAAUGGACAUAUCGACAAUCCGAUUUGGUCCAAGUUUUUCUAUCUCAGGCAAAAUCAAACUAGCGGGAGGCCCAUAAAAUGCCCGUCGAUUGAAGAAACACCCAGUUCCCAUAUGAACUGGGCCCGUAAGUCCAUCAAACCCAAUCGUGUUGAUGUCAAAUGGGCGUUUGAGCUCCGAUGCAUAAAUAUCAUUUUUGUUUAUUCCUUGAAAUUUUUGAGGAAAUUGCACAAAUCCUAAACCAAAAUUGAUUUUAGGAUCUGACAAAUAGCAUAGAGCAUGAAGUGGUGUUGUAGGAUUGUUUGAGUACAUGUCACAAUCUAGUGUUAGAAUGAUUGGUGAGUUUGUCAUCACGGCAGAUACUCGUAACUACAAUGAAAACAAAACUUGUGGUUAACGAAAUAUUAUUUAGAAAUGACAGUUUAACCAAGCCAAAAUUUGUCAAGUUAGGGAUUAGUUGAUACCAAAGUAUUAAGAGCACCGGCUUUAUAAUGAUGUGGUGAAACUUUACUCUUCUCUCUUGAAACAUAGAUUAGGUUUGGCAUCAUCUCAUCUGUUUCGUUGUGUUGUAGCACCUUUCCCACAAAUUAAUAGAAAAAAACGAGUUCUUAUUAAUUGUAGAAACUUUUGUUUCUAAAAUAAAACACUCAAAUACACUUUCUUUAUAUGAUACGAUGCGAUACAAAACAAAAUGAGUUAUAAUAAUACCUGAAUAAUUGUGGGAUGGUCAUGACGAGUGAAUUUAUCUGUCCACAAAUCGAAAACCCCACGAAAUUGAUCGCAUGUGAUAAAUGCAGUCUCAACUUUUCCACUCUCGGCCACAUUUUCUACUCUACUCUUCAUGUCUUCGUACAUCAGCUAUUAACACCACACAAUUUUAAGCAAAUAUAUAUAUACUCAUAUCGUUUAGGAGAAGAAAUCAUUGAUAUAUCAUGGAUGUUUAAACAUUACAAUAAAUGAAUAGGAAAUAUUAUGUGAUACAUGUCACAGUAUCCCAAACUCUUGGGGUCGUAAAGGACAAAAUCGCCAUUAUUAUUGUCGACAAGAACCUAAGGCUAUGAUGGACCAAAUUGUUUCAUAAAAUAUUUGGUAUGUGUUUCAGUUUCUCCCUCUCUUUUUUUCAACCAUUUUUCCCCAAAUUUUUUUAAUCAAACAUUAUUUCCAUUUUCUCUUGAAAGCUCCAGUUUCAAAUUACUGAUUUAUAUUUAACUCAUAAUUGAUACAUAUCAAGGAAGCUAUACCAUAAAGAAAUAUUGCUUAUGGUGCACAUGAAUUAUUCGAUUUUAGUAUACUUAAAGAGAACAACUAAUAUAUAGUUGAAUAGCAAAAUAGGUGAAUCCUGAUAUAGCAUAACCAAUAGAACGAUAACAUUUAUAAACUGAAUAGAACUGAUUCUUUUAAAACGCCAAAAACUAUUAUUUAGUAGAUGAAUAAAAUUUCAAGAUUAACAAAAAAAAAGUUUUGACAAAAAAAAUAUACAUGAAAGUGUCUCUAAUUUAGUUAUAAUUUUAAAACGUGUGAGAUAUACUGAAAUGUCACUUGUUAUUUUCAUGUGUUAUCAUUCAUCACAAGUUUUUACGGAUAUUAUAUAUUCGGCAAAAUCAUGUUUUCGAAACGUGACGUUGAAAAACUCGCAAACCAUUCAAACCCAUAAUUUUUUUUAAAACUAUUAUGGCUUCAAUUGGUAACCAUAAUUUAGAAAAAGAAUGAGAAUGAAUGUGAUAUUCCUCUUUGUUCCUCAAUAUUUUUACCAUUUACAAGUAAUAUUUUUUCCACAUCAUUCCUCUACAUUCCUCACCAAAAGAGGAACACUAGAACAAAAAUGUUCCUCUCCAAAAUUGAUGAGGAACAAAAUGGAACAAGAAAGGAACAAAUAUUAAAAUUCGUUUUUAUUUUAAAAUAAAAAAUAAUAUUUAUCAAUAAUAUUUGUAUUUUAUUAUAUAAUAAUUUUCAUAUCUUUACAAUAUAUUAACAGAAAAAAAUAUUUUUGAUAAGAAUUUUAUGCUGAAUUACUCUUAAGUCUUCAUUUGAAAAUUAUAUAAAUAGUAAAAUAAAUUUAAAAGUGUUUAUAUUGUAAAAGAUUAAUAUAUUUUAAAUUACUCUUUCAAUUUUAUUUUAUGUUAAUAUUAAAUAUUAUUUAAAAUGAUAUAUAUAUAUAUAUAUAUAAAUUUAGCUCACUAAUUUUAGUUUCAAAUUAAAUAUAAAAUUCAAUAAAUAUAAAAAAUAUUUAGUAUUUUUCAUUGAAAUUUGAUUCAUUUACUAUUUAAUAUAUCUUUAAAGAUAUUUUUAUUGUUUGGUUACCAUUCAUCAUAAUAGUACAUUUUAUUCAUUCUCUACAUUUUUUCUUUUUUGUUCAUCAAAAAUUAUUUGUUCCAUUCCGCAUUGUUCUUUUUAUUCAGUUUUUUUUUGUUCUUUUAAUGGUUACCAGUCGGAGCCUAUGUACAUUUUAACUAAUAAUAAUGAAUUUUAAAUUUCAAAAAGUAUUGAUUUAAAAUAAUUAAAAUUUUGAAACACUAUUGGUUUAACGAAAAUUGAAUCAGUACACAAAAUUAAUAUAUUUGUAAUUAAAUAUUAAUUUUUUGUGUGUGAAAACUCAAAAUUUCAUUAUCUAGAAACAGAAGGAUAGUAUCAUUUUAGAUAACUAUACUCCAAUCGUUUACGAGAAAUCAUUUAGAGGAAAUCUAACACAAACCCUGGCUUCUUUUUGUCUAUUUGGACAAAAUUGGCAUUAUCGGCGACAAGAUGUACGAUAAGGUUGGAUUGACCCUUCAACACACCACUGGCUUCUUUUUGUCUGUUUCUUCUACUCAGUUUUAUUUAUUUGUCAUUAUGAAUGAUUCCUUCUCCAUUACAGAUAUAAAUUCUCGUUUUUUUGGUCCCAUUUAGUUUGUUUUGCCAAAAAGCAUGUUAUUCCAUAAUUAAAAGUAAUGAAAAUGAAUUACAAUUAUGAAAGACAAUGAGAGAAAUUAUGAAGUAAGCUAAGUGUUAACAAUUCUUGGAAGUUGGAACAGCUGUGGCGGUUUUAAAUCAUUUUUUAGUACGAGAACUAAGAGAUUUUUAUCCAUAAUUAGAAUCUUUUAAAUGAGGAUUUUAACUGUAAAAUAAUAAUAAUUUUAAUAUAAUUUAGUUAUAUAAUUAAUAUUAAAUUUGAAGAAAAUGAACCACUUGUAAUAAGACAAGUGUCAUGAGUUUUUCAAAGUUUUAAAUGGGAAAGCCAUUUCAUUUUCUCAUUUUUUGUUUAUUUUUUACUUUUUUUUUUAAUGUAGAAAACUCAUGUGAGCGACCUUUGAUCGAGGUGUUCUAAGAGCAUGAUUAUCCAAAGACUCUUAAUAAUGGCUCUUAUCUACGUGACACAUCUUAACUCUCAAAAUGUUUCUUAGCUAAGAAACGUUCCUUAGUUAUAUUCAGCAUUUUCAAUUUAAUUUAAAUUAUUUAUAAACCUAAGAGAAUCAUUAAGCAACUACCGAUAAUCAUGCUCUAAGUCUCUAACAGUAGUAAGAAUUGUGUUGGCCUACGUAUGCCGUAUGCGCAUCAGUUGAAAGAAAGAAAAAAAUAUACAAAACCUAAUUAAUUAUACGUUUAUAAGUUAUUGGUUGAUAAGCGAUACAUACCUUAAGGUUUUCAGCUUCCUCACUCUGAGACUGUGACUCAGAUGAGAAAUAAACUUCAGGGGACCGAUCUUGAACAUUGUUAUUCUUGCAAAAGGGCAACCAACGCUUAGAGAACUUGGCAGCCUCCAUAAGAGCAAACAAAGUCAAUGAAGAUCCUCCAUCGUCCGAUACAUAGACUGAGAUCUUAUCGGACGCAUAUUCAUAGGCCAUCACAGAUAAGGCGGUGUUAACCACCAUCAUCGGAGGCUCCUUGUACGGAUCAGCCGUGCAUAUAAACACGUCCAGCUUCGGAAAAUCCUCCGGUUUAGCUGCAUAUUUCUCAGGGUACUCCGUCCGGUGAACCGGGUUUAACCGGAGGGAAGUUGUGGUUACCCACAUGAAGGCGAGAACAAUAUCGGAGAGGAGAAGAAGACAUGUUAUAAGAGUGUUGUUUGCUGUGAGAAUUGAGAGUACAUGGUGAUACAUGAGGGCUAUGAUGCCACACGUGUGGAUUACGGCGUAGAUUCUGUAUGGAAUGGCGCGCCGGCAGGGAUGACACGUGUGGAGGGCCGUCGAGUAUUUUCUCCGAGGUUCCAUCUUUUUAAGGAAGGCAACUGGUUUUUCGAGAAAAUAAUGACCACAAAUAUAUAAAUAGGACUUAUAUAUAGGCCAGUUUCUUUGGAUUGAUUAUUUCUCUGAUGAUAUAUACACACACACACUAUAGAUAGUACUUAUAUACACUAUAUUUGUUUAUAUGUUAGGAUAAAUUCGUAGGUAUAAAAAUAUAUAUAACAAUUACUGAUGUAAAUAUUUGGAUUUUGAUGAUUGAAACCCACAGAUUAUAAAACCAUUAAUUCCUUGAUUUUAUAAAAUAUUUAUCACCAAAAACAAAAGUUAAAUAUUUACUUAAUUAAUAUAUGUACUUGAUACUCCCACCAAAAAAAUAUGUACUUAAUACUUCAAUAGUUUAAAAAUAAAAACAUUAAUAUAAAAUUUUAAAAUAACUGUAAACCAGUUAUAUUGUAAAAAACAAUUUACAAUAUUAUUGGUUUAGAGUUAUAGAAAAACAAUGGAAUAAAAAACUAAAAAAUAUAUCUUUUUGAAACAAAAAUCUUUUCUAAAACUUGGACUAAUUAGGAACAAAGGGAGAGGGAGUAACAUAUGUUAUAUUUUAAGUAAUUAAUCUUUUGUCACAUGUUGGAUUUUAGUGAGACGUGUGGAAUUUUAUCUUAUACAAUUUGAAUUUUUCAAUGGAGAAGUUAAGUUGAAAUUCUCUAACUUGAAAAUGAUGCGAAACUAUCAAAUGGAUGAAGACUGGGGCUUGGAGAGUCACUGCCUUCACGAUUCACGUCACGCAUAUCUGCCAAGUGCCAACUUCUUAACUUCUUGCAAAAUAUCGAUUGUGGACAACUGUACUUCCACACAAUCGUACAUAAAUGUGUACAUAAAGAGUCGUAUAACACUUUUAAUAAAAAUGUGAUAGAAGUUUCCAUUAAGUAUGAUAAAUCUUUGAGUAAUUGUGUUUCUAUUUGCAAAGUCAUUUGAGAAAAAACAGAGUCAAUAAGUAUCAUUUUAUUUUUAUCAUUAAUCUACUAUUUUGAGUAUGAAAAUUAAAUCCCACUAACUAGAUCAUUUUCCAGGCUUUGCUAGGGAUUUUAUUUAAAAUUUUGGAGUAUAAUUAAUUUGUUUAUAAGCCUAAGUAGUGGUGAAAGUGAAACACCAAAUAUAUAUACGAGAGUAAAUAGAUCGAAAUAAGCAAAAUAAAUGUUGUCUUAUCGUCUAUUAUAUGUAUUCACAUCAAAAUAUCUCAAAGUACGUAGACACAUAUACUGAUAUACCGAAAUGUAUGUUCAACAAUGAGGUGAGAAAUGGGAUUUCAUCACAUUAUUCUCUCUAAUUACCACAAUGCAGACGUAAUAUUAUUUUAAUCCAAACGACAGAACCAUACUGGGUGCAGUUACUUGAGGAAGAAGUAACCUGACACAAUCAGCACAAAUGUGAGGAUCACAGCUACGAAACAAAUUCUUUUUGGUAAUUUUCCAUUAUCUUUCCUCAACACCAUAGCCUCAUAGAUUGGCAAGCAAUUCACCACCACGAAGCUCGCCAGCAUCAGCUCAAGGACGAGUCCUUUUCCCCAAGCGAAAAGACCAUAAAGCCCCCAGACAAAAGCAAGGAGGUUCACGAUCGCCGCCGUGGUCAUAGGUAAGAACAUUGUCGAAGAGGGACCGAACUCAAACAUCUCUUUCUCAUACCUCUUGCUCUGUUCUUCAUCAUCGUUGGCUUUGCUUGUGACGUUGAAUCCAUGUGUGGAGAGGUUUAGGGUUUGAAGAGUGAACUCUAUGAAGCCAAAUAGGUGUGAAGAGAAUCCUCUUAUCGACCACAUUCUUUGAUCGUUCCACCAUCCGCGAUAAGUUCCUCCUUCUAAUACAAAGUCGAGUAGAUCUUGCGCAUAUGCACCGAGGAACAAAACGAUGUAAAGCCAAAACCAUGGAUCCGAUGACUUGGGAAAGACGCUAACUCCAUAGAGGAGAGCAAGUUGGGGCAAGAAUCCAUAGACGACAUGAGGAAGUGACCAAAAUGGCCAACAUGCGUAUUGACAAUAGCCUAAUCCCAUUAAUAGACCCAUUGAUUUGACACCAUAGGUAAUGGGGCUAUACCUUGAGAAGGCAACUUCAAGAAGUCCAAUGGCCCAUCUUUUUUGUUGGCUGACUACAUCAAUUAGGCUUUUUGGGGCAUCUCCGCAAAAUGCUGCUCUUUUGGGACUGCAAAAAACUGUUCUCCAUCCUUCACAAUGGAGCCUAUACCCUGUGUAGUAGUCUUCUACUAAAGAUCCGUAUCUAUAUCCAAUCUGCAUAGUUUUGAAUGAUAAUUUGAAUAUACAGUAUAACAAACUAGGAAACAAAAGAUAUUUCGAAUGACUCAUAUUGAAUCGAAGAUCUAUCUUUAGGCUACCCAUUAUGAAAUAUAUUUUUCAUGUUUCAUAUCAAUCAAGACAUCAUAUCAUUCGUUUCUAAAAGUCAACUACUGUUAUCUAAGAUUAGAGAACCUAAUUGCUAUUAGUUCACAUAUGCCAUAUGAAAAAAUAACUAUUUCUAAUUGGUUAACUUAGAUUGAAACUGGUUUAGUUUUGAGUUUCAUUAACUUUCAACUCAAAAUAGAUUAACAAUUAGUGGAUUUAUGUAUAUCACUUCUAUAUUACUUAAAGUCUAUUUUUCUUUAGAUGUGAGGUUCUCUAACAUUAGUUUUCAUGAAAUUUUUUAUAACAAAUGGAAAUCAAUAAUAGAUCAAGGUAAUUGGUGUUGUUUUUAUCUACGAGGGUUGUUUUUAUCUUACCUUUGAUCCCCAAUUGGUGUUGUGCUCGUAGAUACAGCCUGCUACUUUGUGUGCCAAUGCUAAAACAUCUUGAGCGUUGAUGGGCUUAUCUACAGUACGAUUGGGCUUAAGUUCAUCUAUCUCAGGCAAAAUCAAAUUAGACGGAGCCCCAUAAAAAACUCGUCGAUUGAAGAAACAACCAGUUCCUACAUGAUUUGGGCCCAUUAGACCAUCAAACCCAAUCAUACUGAUCUCAAAGAGACGCUUAUAUGCGCAUGCAUAGAUAUCAUUCUUGCUUAUUCCUUGAAAUUUUUGAGGAAACUGUACAUAACCUAAACCAGUAUUGAUUUCAGGAUCCGUUAAAUAGCACAAGGCACGAACUGGUGUUGCAGGAUCGUUCGAAUACAUAUCACAGUCUAGUGUUAAAAUAAUCGGUGCAUUCGUCAUGACUCCAGACACUCGUAGCUAUAAUAAAAACAAAACACGUUAUCUUUAAACUACUGAAAUGCUAAUUAAUCGAAAUAAAAAUCGUUUAAGGUAUUAGGUUUAGUUGAUACCAAAGUAUUAAGAGCACCGGCUUUGAAAUGAUGUGGUGAAACUUUACUCUUCUCUCUUGAAACAUAUAUUAGGUUUGGCAUUAUAUACUUUUUGGUAGUGUCCAUAUCUGUCUCGCUAUUUUGUAGCACCUGUCCUCAAAUUAAUUGAAAUUGAGAUUUUGUUUACUUAAAAUAAUAAUGGCACAGUACAAUUGUUAAGUAAAUAUAUUCAAAAUGCAAUUUUCAUUAUGAUAAAUAGUAGUGAGAAAAGAAUAUUUUAAGUUUUUUUUUUUCUUUAUAAUUACCUG
RNAcentral lists this long non-coding RNA (13698 nucleotides) under Arabidopsis lyrata. Its description in RNAcentral is "long non-coding RNA (ALYR_LNC000838)". The record is from RNAcentral. Lineage: Eukaryota; Viridiplantae; Streptophyta; Magnoliopsida; Brassicales; Brassicaceae.